GUGGGGAAUAUUGGACAAUGGGGGCAACCCUGAUCCAGCAAUGCCGCGUGUGUGAAGAAGGUCUUCGGAUCGUAAAGCACUUUCGACGGGGACGAUGAUGACGGUACCCGUAGAAGAAGCCCCGGCUAACUUCGUGCCAGCAGCCGCGGUAAUACGAAGGGGGCUAGCGUUGCUCGGAAUUACUGGGCGUAAAGGGCGCGUAGGCGGCUCUGUUAGUCAGGCGUGAAAUUCCUGGGCUUAACCUGGGGACUGCGCUUGAUACUGCGGAGCUUGAGGCCGAGAGAGGGUGGUGGAAUUCCCAGUGUAGAGGUGAAAUUCGUAGAUAUUGGGAAGAACACCGGUGGCGAAGGCGACCACCUGGCUCGGUACUGACGCUGAGGCGCGACAGCGUGGGGAGCAAACAGGAUUAGAAACCCGUGUAGUCC
RNAcentral lists this ribosomal RNA (425 nucleotides) under uncultured bacterium. RNAcentral's name for it is "partial 16S ribosomal RNA". It matches the Rfam family "Bacterial small subunit ribosomal RNA", at positions 354 to 796 of the family's 1533-position model. The record is from RNAcentral.